GCAGCUUAAGAGAACCUUGUCUAUAUCAUGCCUGCAUCUGGGAGCAGGUCUGAGUUCCCUGAGUGGUCCGGGGACACAUGGAGCCAGCACAGACUCCUCACUGCCCAGGGAACUGGGGACAUGCCUGAAACCUCAAGAUGAACAUAGGGGGUUGUAUCCUGCCUCAGCAUGAGAGGUAGAGGUGAAGGGGUUGGGGUGGCUGGUGAGGGCCUGGUGGCUGGUGAUGAGAUUCAGGCAUGGUCAGGGAGAAGAGAACAAGGCAUGUUGUGUGCGUAUGGGACCAGGGGACCAGUCACCUCACACCCAGGCUUGCUAAGGGGCUGUCAGGACAGGGAAGGGCAUAGAGGAGCCAGCCCUGCGUAUUGGUAAGGGGUCCAGUGGACAAGGGCAGCCUGAUAGACACAGCAGUGACAUCAUAGGCAAAUGCUCCAAUCAGGGAAGCAGGAGGGUCAGCACUUUACAUCACUCACCCCAGGAGCCCCGCCCCAGCCAGCAGCAGUGCUGGGCUCCUGAUGCUGCCAUGGGCUCCAGGCUCCUCUGCUGUGUGACUCUCUGCCUCCUGGGAGCAGGCCUGGUGGAUUCCGAAGUCACCCAGACCCCAAAAUUCCUGACCAAAUCAAGAAAACAGCAAGUGACACUGAGAUGUUCCCCUGAAUCUGGACACCGCUCUGUGUACUGGUUCGCACAAGCCCUGGGCCAGGGCCCCCAGUUCCUCGUUAAGUAUUUUGAUGGAGAAGUGUAUCAAAGAGGAAACAUGUCAGAUCGAUUCUCAGGUCAACAGUUAGGUGACUCUCGCUCGGAGUUGAACUUGACCUCCUUGGAGCUGAUGGACUCCACUCUGUAUCUCUGUGCCAGCAGCCAAGACACAGCCCUGCAUGAUCAGGUGCCUCUGGGACAAAAACUCUCCUGCCCCAGCUCAGGAAGUGGUGGUGAGCGUGUCGGUUGCCAGUGUGCCAAGCUCAGUCUCUGGAAGAGCAAUAGAUUUUCCCAGACAUUCAUUUCUUGAUAUGUUGUAAUGCUCACUAGGAUCAUGCAAAGUAAGUAUUAUUUUAACUGUUUAUAUAUCUGAGGGGAUGUGAAUUGCCCAGAUC
Non-coding RNA from Bubalus bubalis (water buffalo), 1091 nucleotides. The record is from the annotation of a RefSeq genome assembly. Lineage: Eukaryota; Metazoa; Chordata; Mammalia; Artiodactyla; Bovidae.